GCCCAGGUGAAAUGUGUCAUUUGCUUGUCGCGGUUUCACCGUGGAAGACGUUGUUUAUCUGUUACAGUACACGUUUAAAAAUAUUCUAUUCAAAGUUAAACUUGAAAAUAGAUUCCCACCAGCCGCGAUAUAUAAAAAUCAGGUCUUAUGUAGAGUGGCUCAUCAGAGCUAACAACUUGUCAGUGGAAAUGCUAACAGCGUUAUGGGAUGUUACCUGCUCAACAACAGACUUCGAGGAUGUCAGUCAUCUCUCAGAGGAUUACCAAGCAGGACAAUGCGGUGGAAGUGAGAAAAUGCAGCUAACGCCAACCCAAACUGACAACACAAACAAGCAGAGGAGACUGAGGAGAACAGGCAGCUGCAGACCAGAGCGGAUGAGCUGUAGACUACGAGAGAAGUUGAACUCAGCACUGACCUCUCUGCUUGAAUGCCUGAUGCUGGAGAGCCACAGGAGGCAGACUUCAAAUGAGAGAAGAUCCAGCCCAGAGGCAUGAUUGGCUCGUGAUGGCGUGCAUCUCUUCUCCACCCUGCAAUACACUUCAUCUACUUCUUAUUUACCUCUGUAUGUACUACCUUUACAAGUCAGCUCAACCGGGUCACCCACCUCUUGAUUUCCAGCAGUGUUGUAGUUGUUAUCUGUCUUUAUUAAUUUAAAAUGAAUCUGUAAGUAUGGCUCUUUGCAUCUUGAAAACACCUGCAGUUGAUAUUUUAUUCUGCUUGUAAUUUGCAUAGGAGUCAAACAAAUAUGGAAAGCCAGCGUGAGCCUUGCAGAAGGGUAAAUGCAUCACAUUUCACACUGCAGCCCUACACACAUACAAGCUGCAAUUAAAAUGUCUGUCAAAAAGCUCACAACUCUGUAUUUGAUAUAAUGUUUAGAGGUAUAAGGUUGGAUAUGUGAGCCAACAGCUAUUUAAACUAGUGUAUAAACAGUAAUGUCAUAUAAAUGGUAAUUAACACCAUUUUUUCCCUCACUAUAGUCAUAGUUAAAACACAGGUGUUCUCAGUUUAAAACAUCUGAAAUAAAAACCCUCCAGGUGAGAAUUACUGCAGCUCUACAGAAAUUCACCUUUAAUUUCUCAUUAUAUCACAAGCCUUUACCAUGUAGAAAUAAUAACACUGUUUUUACAACAACAAAGAACAUCUUGUUGAUCACAUUUGUUUGUGUACUGUUUGUACACACAGUGUCAGCACAGCUAAGUAGAGCUAAGUUUACAAUAGUUUUAGGUGUUUGCUCACCGAGUUAAAAAUCUGUGUCAAUAUUUACAAAAAUACUGACACAAACACAGUACAUAAAAUAAAACCAAACAAGCCCAAUUUUCACUGAA
Long non-coding RNA from Centropristis striata (black sea bass), 1325 nucleotides. RefSeq lists it as uncharacterized. Lineage: Eukaryota; Metazoa; Chordata; Actinopteri; Perciformes; Serranidae. The transcript has 3 exons. The record is from RefSeq and is a predicted model, not a curated record.